This 253-nucleotide ribosomal RNA is filed under the name uncultured bacterium. Its description in RNAcentral is "partial 16S ribosomal RNA". It matches the Rfam family "Bacterial small subunit ribosomal RNA", at positions 524 to 776 of the family's 1533-position model. The record is from RNAcentral.
UACGAAGGGGGCUAGCGUUGCUCGGAAUCACUGGGCGUAAAGCGCACGUAGGCGGAUCUUUAAGUCAGGGGUGAAAUCCUGGAGCUCAACUCCAGAACUGCCUUUGAUACUGGGGAUCUCGAGUCCGGAAGAGGUGAGUGGAACUCCGAGUGUAGAGGUGAAAUUCGUAGAUAUUCGGAAGAACACCCGUGGCGAAGGCGGCUCUCUGGGACGGUACUGACGCUGAGACGCGAAAGCGUGGGGAGCGAACAGG